CCUACGGUAGGCAGCAGUGAGGAAUAUUGGUCAAUGGGCGCAAGCCUGAACCAGCCAAGUCGCGUGAGGGAUGACGUUCCUAUGGAUUGUACACCUCUUUUGUCGGUGAGCCCGGCCCGCCACGUGUGGCGUGAAUGAGAGUACCCGACGAAAAAGCAUCGGCUAACUCCUUGCCAGCAGCCACGGUAAUACGGAGGAUGCGAGCGUUAUCCGGAUUUAUUGGGGUUAAAGGGUUCGUAGGCGGGAGGUUAAGUCAGCGGUCAAAUGUCGGUGCUCAACACCGGCCUGCCGUUGAAACUGGUAUUCUUGAGUGAGCGAGAAGUAUGCGGAAUGCGUGGUGUAGCGGUGAAAUGCAUAGAUAUCACGCAGAACUCCGAUUGCGAAGGCAGCAUACCGGAGCUCAACUGACGCUGAGGCACGAAAGCGUGGGGAUCGAACAGGAUUAGAUACCCGGGUAGUC
This 460-nucleotide ribosomal RNA is filed under the name uncultured bacterium. Its description in RNAcentral is "partial 16S ribosomal RNA". It matches the Rfam family "Bacterial small subunit ribosomal RNA", at positions 338 to 795 of the family's 1533-position model. The record is from RNAcentral.